Molecule: unclassified non-coding RNA, 300 nt
Organism: Chelydra serpentina (North American snapping turtle)
Lineage: Eukaryota; Metazoa; Chordata; Testudines; Chelydridae
Rfam family: Metazoan signal recognition particle RNA
About the family: The signal recognition particle (SRP) is a universally conserved ribonucleoprotein.
Source: Ensembl
GCCGGGCGCCGUGGCUGGUGCCUGUGAUCCCAGCGGCGCGGGAGGCUGAGGCCGGCGGAUCGCUUGAGCUCAGGAGUUCUGGGCUGCAGCGGGCUGUGCCCAGCGGGUGUCCGCACUAAGUUCGGCAUCGAUAUGGGGAUCCCGGGGAAGCUCGGGGUCCCCAGGUUGCCUAAGGAGGAGUGAACCGGCCCAGGUCGGAAACGGAGCAGGUCAAAACUCCCGUGCCGAUCAGUAGUGGGAUCGCGCUUGUGAAUGGCCCCUGCAGCGUAGCCUGGGCGAGAGAGUGAGACCCGGUCUCUU